UGCAAGGUCUCAUAUGAUUCCUCCUUGGUUUGCUCUAGUUCAUCCAAAAACUGGAACACCCAUUAAUGCUACUCUUUUGGUAACUAUACUUAGUGCUAUUGUAGCAUUUUUCACUAGUUUGGACGUUUUGUCAAGUGUCUUUUCCUUGUGUACACUCCUUAUUUUCAUGCUUAUGGCUGGUGCAUUGCUUGUGANNNUGCUUGUGAGGCGAUAUCAUGUGAAAGAUGUUACUUCAAAGAGUCAUUUGGUUAAAUUUCUUAUGUCUUUAUUCAUCAUUAUUGGUUCUUCAAUUGGAGUAACUGCUAUCUGGAGUUCAAAUGGGAGAGGAUGGAUAGGAUAUGUGGUGACUUUUGUUCUUUGGUUUUUGGGGACCUUGGGGAUGGCGUUGCUAGAAAAGCAACGUGUUCCAAAGGUUUGGGGAGUUCCUCUGGUUCCGU
This 437-nucleotide unclassified non-coding RNA is filed under the name Hevea brasiliensis (rubber tree). The record is from RNAcentral. Lineage: Eukaryota; Viridiplantae; Streptophyta; Magnoliopsida; Malpighiales; Euphorbiaceae.